Molecule: ribosomal RNA, 521 nt
Filed under: Geosmithia lavendula
Lineage: Eukaryota; Fungi; Ascomycota; Sordariomycetes; Hypocreales; Bionectriaceae
Description: eukaryotic LSU rRNA
Rfam family: 5.8S ribosomal RNA (bases 181-334)
Source: RNAcentral
UCAUUACUGAGUUCUAAACUCCAAACCUUUGUGAACCUACCACAGUUGCUUCGGCGGCCUCGCCCCGGGCGCCCCGGAACCCCCAGCGGGUACCGUGGCGGUCCGGACCCAGGCGACCGCCGGGGGGACCCAAACUCUUGUUUUCCAGUAUCUAUCUGAGUGGCAUAAGCAAAUAAUCAAAACUUUCAGCAACGGAUCUCUUGGUUCUGGCAUCGAUGAAGAACGCAGCGAAAUGCGAUAAGUAAUGUGAAUUGCAGAAUUCAGUGAAUCAUCGAAUCUUUGAACGCACAUUGCGCCCGCCAGUACUCUGGCGGGCAUGCCUGUCCGAGCGUCAUUUCAACCCUCAGCGACCGCCUUGCGGCGGGAGCUGGCGUUGGGGAUCGGCCGUCCCUCAGCGGCGGCCGGCCCCGAAACGAAGUGGCGGUCACGUCGCGACCUCCUCUGCGCAGUAGCGAUACCUCGCAGCCUGGAUAGCGGCGCGGCCAUGCCGUAAAACCCCAACUCUUUCAAGGUUGACCUCG